GACGAACGCUGGCGGCGUGCUUAACACAUGCAAGUCGAACGGAAAGGCCCUUCGGGGUACUCGAGUGGCGAACGGGUGAGUAACACGUGGGUGAUCUGCCCUGCACUUUGGGAUAAGCCUGGGAAACUGGGUCUAAUACCGAAUAGGACCACGCGCUUCAUGGUGUGUGGUGGAAAGCUUUUGCGGUGUGGGAUGGGCCCGCGGCCUAUCAGCUUGUUGGUGGGGUAAUGGCCUACCAAGGCGACGACGGGCAGCCGGCCUGAGAGGGUGACCGGCCACACUGGGACUGAGAUACGGCCCAGACUCCUACGGGAGGCAGCAGUGGGGAAUAUUGCACAAUGGGCGCAAGCCUGAUGCAGCGACGCCGCGUGAGGGAUGACGGCCUUCGGGUUGUAAACCUCUUUCAAUAGGGACGAAGCGCAAGUGACGGUACCUAUAGAAGAAGCACCGGCCAACUACGUGCCAGCAGCCGCGGUAAUACGUAGGGUGCGAGCGUUGUCCGGAAUUACUGGGCGUAAAGAGCUCGUAGGUGGUUUGUCGCGUUGUUCGUGAAAACUCACAGCUUAACUGUGGGCGUGCGGGCGAUACGGGCAGACUAGAGUACUGCAGGGGAGACUGGAAUUCCUGGUGUAGCGGUGGAAUGCGCAGAUAUCAGGAGGAACACCGGUGGCGAAGGCGGGUCUCUGGGCAGUAACUGACGCUGAGGAGCGAAAGCGUGGGGAGCGAACAGGAUUAGAUACCCUGGUAGUCCACGCCGUAAACGGUGGGUACUAGGUGUGGGUUCCUCCUUGGGAUCCGUGCCGUAGCUAACGCAUUAAGUACCCCGCCUGGGGAGUACGGCCGCAAGGCUAAAACUCAAAGGAAUUGACGGGGGCCCGCACAAGCGGCGGAGCAUGUGGAUUAAUUCGAUGCAACGCGAAGAACCUUACCUGGGUUUGACAUGCACAGGACGCCGGCAGAGAUGUCGGUUCCCUUGUGGCCUGUGUGCAGGUGGUGCAUGGCUGUCGUCAGCUCGUGUCGUGAGAUGUUGGGUUAAGUCCCGCAACGAGCGCAACCCUUGUCCUAUGUUGCCAGCGGGUUAUGCCGGGGACUCGUAGGAGACUGCCGGGGUCAACUCGGAGGAAGGUGGGGAUGACGUCAAGUCAUCAUGCCCCUUAUGUCCAGGGCUUCACACAUGCUACAAUGGCCGGUACAAAGGGCUGCGAUGCCGUGAGGUGGAGCGAAUCCUUUCAAAGCCGGUCUCAGUUCGGAUCGGGGUCUGCAACUCGACCCCGUGAAGUCGGAGUCGCUAGUAAUCGCAGAUCAGCAACGCUGCGGUGAAUACGUUCCCGGGCCUUGUACACACCGCCCGUCACGUCAUGAAAGUCGGUAACACCCGAAGCCGGUGGCCUAACCCUUGUGGAGGGAGCCGUCGAAGGUGGGAUCGGCGAUUGGGACG
This 1438-nucleotide ribosomal RNA is filed under the name uncultured bacterium. RNAcentral's name for it is "bacterial SSU rRNA". It matches the Rfam family "Bacterial small subunit ribosomal RNA". The record is from RNAcentral.